GGGGGCGAUUAGGAUUCGACGCCGGUAACAAAACCCGAAGUGCAUGUCGUGAGGGUAGCCAAUCACGUAAAUCCAAAGCUGCAAAUUAUCAGUUGCCAAUGAUGACAACUACGGUGCUCAACUAGCUGCGUAAGUAGCUUUUUGUUACACCAUCUAGCGGUACGCCGCUAGCGGUUUUUAACAAGGUGCCAGUACCGCGUUAACGACUGUCACUUAGAACUGGAUCGCAGUGAAGCCUGCCUGGGGUGGAUCAGCUAAACUUUUACAGGAUCGCGCUUUUCGUCCCGCCCGCUGGGCUGUAAAGCGUUAAAUCAAUAAGCGGUUCUAAGCAUGUAGAGCUGACGGCGGAGUACUGACGGACGGGGGUUCAAAUCCCCCCGCCUCCACCA
Molecule: transfer-messenger RNA, 389 nt
Filed under: Saccharophagus degradans
Lineage: Bacteria; Pseudomonadati; Pseudomonadota; Gammaproteobacteria; Cellvibrionales; Cellvibrionaceae
Also listed under: 1 other name
Description: Standard tmRNA
Rfam family: transfer-messenger RNA
About the family: Bacterial tmRNA, also known as 10Sa RNA or SsrA, is named for its dual tRNA and mRNA-like properties.
Source: RNAcentral